AUUGAACGCUGGCGGCAGGCCUAACACAUGCAAGUCGAACGGUAACAGGAAGAAGCUUGCUUCUUUGCUGACGAGUGGCGGACGGGUGAGUAAUGUCUGGGAAACUGCCUGAUGGAGGGGGAUAACUACUGGAAACGGUAGCUAAUACCGCAUAACGUCGCAAGACCAAAGAGGGGGACCUUCGGGCCUCUUGCCAUCGGAUGUGCCCAGAUGGGAGUAGUUAGUAGGUGGGGUAACGGCUCACCUAGGCGACGAUCCCUAGCUGGUCUGAGAGGAUGACCGGCCACACUGGAGCGGAGACACGGUCCAGACUCCGACGGGAGGCAGCAGUGGGGAAUAUUGCACAAUGGGCGCAAGCCUGAUGCAGCCAUGCCGCGUGUAUGAAGAAGGCCUUCGGGUUGUAAAGUACUUUCAGCGGGGAGGAAGGGAGUAAAGUUAAUACCUUUACUCAUUGACGUUACCCGCAGAAGAAGCACCGGCUAACUCCGUG
This 490-nucleotide ribosomal RNA is filed under the name uncultured bacterium. Its description in RNAcentral is "partial 16S ribosomal RNA". It matches the Rfam family "Bacterial small subunit ribosomal RNA", at positions 30 to 507 of the family's 1533-position model. The record is from RNAcentral.